UACGGAGGGUGCAAGCGUUAUCCGGCUUCACUGGGUUUAAAGGGUGCGUAUGAGGGCAGGUAAGUCAGUGGUGAAAUCUCCAAGCUUAACUUGGAAACUGCCGUUGAUACUAUCUGUCUUGAAUACCGUGGAGGUGAGCGGAAUAUGUCAUGUAGCGGUGAAAUGCUUAGAUAUGACAUAGAACACCAAUUGCGAAGGCAGCUCGCUACACGAAUAUUGACUCUGAGGCACGAAAGCGUGGGGAUCAAACAGG
Molecule: ribosomal RNA, 253 nt
Filed under: uncultured bacterium
Lineage: Bacteria
Description: partial 16S ribosomal RNA
Rfam family: Bacterial small subunit ribosomal RNA
Source: RNAcentral